Hypanus sabinus (Atlantic stingray) is the source of this 4049-nucleotide long non-coding RNA. RefSeq lists it as uncharacterized. The record is from RefSeq and is a predicted model, not a curated record. Lineage: Eukaryota; Metazoa; Chordata; Chondrichthyes; Myliobatiformes; Dasyatidae. The transcript is spliced from 3 exons.
GCUAAUUUAAAGGUGAAUGAUCUAUACUGGUUCUGAUAAAGACAGAGGAAAGUUAGCAGAAGCUACUGAGUUCAGCACUGAGUGUGGAAGAACACAAAGCGCCAGGCAAAAAAUAAGGCACUACUCCUCAAGUUUAUGUUGAGGUUGUUUUAACAGUGUAUAAAAAUACAAAUAUUCCAGGGCUGAGUGAAGGGCCAGAGAAAUUGCAUCUGCUGUGGACCUGUUGUGCCAAUAGGCAAAUUAGAGUGGAUCCAAGUCGUUUCUCAGGCAGGAGUUGAUGUGUUCCAUCACCAACCUCUCAAAACACUUCAUGACAGUGGACAAGCUGCCUGAUCUGCGGAGUUGCUUCAUUACUCUGGAAGAUUCAUUAGACCCUUGCAGUUCACAUUACACUUUUAGAAAUCUGGAUUUAAGAUAAUGAUGCAGAAACUGACUGUGCUGAUGAAUGCAAUGUUGGACUGUGCUGUUAGAAGAUAUGAAUGGACAAGAUAUGUGAACUCAGAAGUACACAUAGAAAUUAAUCUGGAAAAUUGUGAAGUAUUGGAGAGGACAGUAAGCCAAAUAGUAGCAUACUGAGAAGUGAGAACUGUAGAUAAAUAGAGUGAUCUUGAAGUCUAUACCAAAUACUGAACACAAAAUACUCUGCAGAUGCUGGGACCAAAGGUAGUCUCCAGACCCUUGGCACGAACAUUGAAUUCUCCAACUUCUGGUGAUUCCAUUCCCCUCCCUUCCCCUAUCCCAGUUUUACUCUACCUCCUCCUCCAGCUGCCUAUCACCUCCCUCAUGGUUCCGCCUCCUACUACCACCCAUAGUGCUUUCCCCUUAUAUUCCUUCUUCACCUUUCCUGCCUAUCCCCUCCCCCACCCCUUGAUCUUUCCCCUUACUGAUUUUUCACCUGGCACCUACCAGCCUUCUCCUUCCCACCCUCCCCCACCUUCUUUUUAGGGCACCUGCUCCGUCCCUCUUCAUUACUGACGAAGGGUCUCGGCCCGAAACGUUGACUGUUUGUUUCCACUGAUGCUGCCCGCCUUGCUGAGUUCCUCCAGCGUGUUGUAUGUGUUGCCAAAUAGUGACGUUGUUGGGUAUGUAGCUUUUGUAGUUAGGAAGGUAGUUGAGAUACUCUUUGGCUGUAGCACAGCAAGUAAGCACAAAGUACAUAAAAGACUAGUUAACCCACAUUUAAAAUACUGUGGACAAUUCUGAUCUUAACAACGCUGGAAAGAUGGAAUCAUGGGAGAGAAAAUAUGGUGGUACAGAGGAGGUAUAACCGGAUGUUACAAGGACAGAACAUUCAUUAUGAGGAAAGAUUGCUUCGGUUGAGGAUGGUUUCAUCAGAACAAUGCAAACUGAAGGAGUUCUAAGUGAAAUUCUGAAGAUUGUGACAUUAUUGAGUGAACUGUAAUGCUAUGUUUUCCUUCAUUGUGGGAAGAAAAUCUGUGGGAUAAGCUGUGGAGAGUUUGGAGUGGUGUUGAGGAAAGUUCCUUUCACCCAAAGAUUGGUGGGGGUCUAUAGUUCAGCAUCUGACAGAUGCUGAAGAUAGAAAUAUAGACAAUUGCUUACAUUCCUGCUUUGCUAUAAUCCACAAGGCUACAGACUGAGAGUAGAAGUCAGAAGAGCUCUUUUUUGACUGACCUUGACAUAGUUGGUUAAGCAAUCUCCUUCUGUCCCAUGAAUGUCUAUGAUUCCUAUCAAGGCAAAACUGGAUGGGAGCAGGUAUGGUUGGGAUGUAUUAGACGGUAAGACAGGACAGAGGUUAUGAGAAAACCUUGAGGAACCUUCUAUUAGUAGAACAGUUGAAACUCAGUUGAAAUAUACUGCAUUCAAGUAAUGUAAAAAGCUUUGCCAAAAGCAAUCAUGGUCAAGUACCAUGAUAACCCACAUCAUACAACACGGCACAUAAUGAAUGGAAAGAAUGUAAAAAAUGACCAAGUACUUGCAAGUAAAAUUGAAUGUCGAAUUAUGGUGCAGAGCCACCUAGUGGGUAGUGAGUAGAAGUACAGUAUGACUGAAAUGUGAGUGAGUUCAUUGGGCCAGUUUGGGCCAAUUGAGAUUGCUGACUGCACUCAAUCUCUGUUUCCAUCUGGAGGACAGAAUGAGUUGACCCCUAGCAUCUCACAGGUACCACUGAAAUAGAGCAAGCUUCAGGAGAUGACUUGGCUUUGGGCAUCAUAUACUGCAGCCAUAUUCCCUGACAGCAUUUCUCCAGUCACUGGUUACAAAGGACUUCUCAACAGUUUUUGAAAGUCUGCUUUUCCAAGUUGUUUAUAAAUUAAAUGACUUUAAAUAUUUUUAAAAGCUAAACUAAGCAUAAAAAUGUUAAACACGAGAAAGUCUGCAGGUGCUGGAAAUCCAAAGCAACAGUCACAAAGUGCUGGAGGAACACAGCAUGUCAGGCAGCAUCUGUGGAAAUGAAUAAACAGUUGACGUUUCAGGCUGAGACCCUGCUUCAGGACUGAAAUGGAAGGGAGAAGAAGCUAGAAUAAAAAUCUUGGGGAAAGGGAAGGAAGCUGUCUAGAAGGUGUUAGGUGAAACCAAGUGGAUGGGAAAAAAAAGGGCUGGAGAAGAAAGAUCUGAUUGGAGAGGAGAAUGGACCAUAGGAGAAAGGGAAGAAAGAGGGGACGCAGGGGAAAAAGGUGGGCAAGUAGAAGAGUUAAGAGGCCAGGGGAAUAGGACAGGGGAGGGGCAGGGAUUUUUUUUACCAGAGGCUGAAAUUGAUAUUCACGCCAUCAGGUUGGAGACCACCCAGCCGGAAUUUAAAGUGUUGCUUCUUCACCCUGAGAAUGGCCUCCUCUUGUGCCUAGAUGAGGCCAUGAACUGACAUGUCAGAAAGGGAAAGGGAAUCAGUAUUAAAAUGUUUGGCAACCAGGAAGUUAUAGGUGCUCAACAAAGUGGUCCCCCAAAUUACGUAGGGUCUUGCCAAUGUAGAGGAGUCUGCAUCAGAAGCGCCAGACACAACAGACAACCCCAGCAGAUUCACAGGUGUGGUGUUGCCUCACCUGGAAAUACUGUUUGGAGCCCUAAAUGGAGAUAAAGGAGGAGGUGAAUGGGCAGGUGGAGCAUUUAGGCCACUUGCAGAGAUAAUUGCUGGGAAGGAUAUUAGUGAAGAGGGACGUAUGGACAAGGGAAUCACAGAAGGAGAGAUCCCUGUGGAAAGUGUGUGGAGGGUAGGGGGAAGGAAGGAGUAAAGAUAUGUUUAGUGGUAGGAUCCCUUUGCCCUUGCUCCUGUGCUAAAUACCCAGUGCAUUAACAGGUAUUCAUUACAUACAGCUUCUGUACUACAAUUCCACUGACGUCAGUCGAACAUUGGAAGUUACAAGGAUUCUCUGUCCACUGAUAUAGCCUGAAUUACUAAAUAUUUCCAGAAUUUAACAUAUGCUUUGGAUGCCAGUAUUAGAAAUUAAUAUGUGAAGCUACUAUCUCUCUAAUUCUUAAAAAAGAUAAAGAUCCUACUUUAUGUGCAUCUUAUCGCCCUAUAUCAUUAUUAAAUGUAGAUUCUAAGAUUUUUACAAAAAUUUUAGCCAUUAGAUUAGAAAAGGUAAUAUCACAGAUUAUUUCAGAAGACCAAACUGGUUUCAUUAGGAAUCGGUAUUCCUUUUUUAAUGUUAGAAAAUUGAUUAAUAUAAUUUAUACUUCAUCACCCACAACCCCAGAAUGUGUUAUUUCAUUAAAUGCUGAAAAAGCUUUUGAUAGAGUUGAAUGGACAUACUUAUUUAAUGCAUUGAGAAAUUUUAAUUUUAGUCCUAACUUUAUAUCAUGGAUUAAAUUAAUAUAUUUUAAACCUGUUGCUUCUGUUCUUACAAAUAAUUAUAGAUCCUCUUUUUUUCAAUUAUCUCGUGGUACGAGACAAGGUUGUCCCUUAAGUCCUUUAUUAUUUAAUAUCGCAUUAGAACCUUUAGCCAUUGCUAUUCGUGAAUCUCCUAAUAUUUUUGGUAUUACCCGUAAUGAGAAGUUAUACGUUAUCACUUUAUGCUGAUGACUUGCUGUUAUAUAUUUCUGAUCAUGACAGGUCUAUUCCCGCUAUUUUAUCCUUGUUGGCUCAAUUUGGUAGU